RNAcentral lists this ribosomal RNA (497 nucleotides) under uncultured bacterium. Its description in RNAcentral is "partial 16S ribosomal RNA". It matches the Rfam family "Bacterial small subunit ribosomal RNA", at positions 28 to 507 of the family's 1533-position model. The record is from RNAcentral.
GAUGAACGCUGGCGGCGUGCCUAAUACAUGCAAGUCGAGCGAACAGACGAGGAGCUUGCUCCUCUGACGUUAGCGGCGGACGGGUGAGUAACACGUGGAUAACCUACCUAUAAGACUGGGAUAACUUCGGGAAACCGGAGCUAAUACCGGAUAACAUGUUGAACCGCAUGGUUCAACAGUGAAAGACGGUCUUGCUGUCACUUAUAGAUGGAUCCGCGCCGCAUUAGCUAGUUGGUAAGGUAACGGCUUACCAAGGCAACGAUGCGUAGCCGACCUGAGAGGGGGAUCGGCCACACGGGAGCUGAGACACGGUCCAGACUCCUACGGGAGGCAGCAGUAGGGAAUCUUCCGCAAUGGGCGAAAGCCUGACGGAGCAACGCCGCGUGAGUGAAGAAGGUCUUCGGAUCGUAAAACUCUGUUAUUAGGGAAGAACAAAUGUGUAAGUAACUAUGCACGUCUUGACGGUACCUAAUCAGAAAGCCACGGCUAACUACGUG